AGCCUGAAGCCUGAGGGGAAUGUGACGCCCCGGGUGGACCUUCCUCUGGUUGGGUGCUGACGGCUGCCCGGCCUGGCCCCACCCCACAGUGCACUGUGUGGACAGCGGUAUCACUGGAUAGUCGAGGGAUGAAGGCCACCUGACGCCACUGACCUCCCCAUCUGCAGCAUUAGGUGACUGUGCUGCUGGUGUCCCCAGGUUCCUCAUGGAGCGUGGUGAUGGCUGUCAUCUAUGGAGGACUGGCUCCCACAGGGCCUGGCUCAUUUCUAGCAGCCUGUGACGCGGGGCAGAGUGAGGUGACCUGAGCAGGGUGACGGCACUGGCACCUGGGGUCAGACACUGGAGCCAAGCAGCUCGGCUUCUGCGCCAGGAGGACGCCCGUGAGGCUCUGCCGCCCCGUGGCUCUUCUCAGGGCUCCGCAGGCCGCACUCGCAGGGCGUGCCCUUGGGACCCUGGAAGGAGGUAGGACGGUGACAGUUCCCGGGCUGGGAACGAGGCGGAGCCGCGGAGGCCUGUUCCAGCCGAGCCCGCUGGUCAGGGCAGUGACCCGCCGUGGAGUCCCCUGGGUCCACCCGUCCCCAUCACUGUGUGGCCUUCAGCUUUGCAGAGUGCCCUCAGCCAAGUGGGGCCACCACGCUGGCCUUACCCCAGGGGAGUGGGCAGGGUGCUGAGGCAAGGGGACACUGAGCCCCGUUGGGGUCCUACAGGGUGAGGAAGUGCCAGCGCGCUGGAGAGGACCUCAGCCUGGAGACAUGGCUGUCCUGGCGCAGAGGUCUAUGACACAGAUGGCAGUUUAGACUGUCCUCCGCCUCUCGGUCACCCGGCGGGCGGACCCUCGUCGCUGCCCCUGGGCCAGGCAGACACCGUCUCCCCAAACAGACUUCUUUACUCUUUGUCUACUCGGAACCCAGGCUGAUGGUAACCGCAACUGUCACAAUUACAGCCAAUACGUAUUAAGGGACAAGUGCAGGCACCAUUAAGGGACUUUGUGUGUUUCCACUUGUCAACAAUCCUAGCGACUCGGGAGGGGGCGUGCUCUCAUUCCCUCUGCACCAGGGAGAGGCAGGAGGCAGAAACAGGAGACCCAGGAGUGACGGUCACCCAGGUAAAGGGGGCGGGUGGCCCCACGGCAGGAGAGUUACCUGUGCUCCUGGCUGAGCCACUCCGACCUCUGGGAUCCUGGUCCCCUGCCCCACCCCUGUCCAUCAGCUG
Molecule: long non-coding RNA, 1212 nt
Filed under: Marmota monax (woodchuck)
Lineage: Eukaryota; Metazoa; Chordata; Mammalia; Rodentia; Sciuridae
Source: RNAcentral